GUCUAACCUUCCAAAAGGAGCGUCUAGCCUCACAAGGAGCGUCUAGCCUCACAAAGGGAGCGACUAGCCAUGAUGAGGAGCGUCUAGGCCAAGGCUACAUGAGGAGCAUCUAUGAAGAGUCCUAGACCGUCUAGCUUCACACACACAAGGGCCAAAGCUACGGUUUGGGAGAGAAGAGGCUUUGUUGCAUAAAAGGCCCAUUAGGGGUACUUAGUAAGAUAGGUAGUGUAGAAA
RNAcentral lists this long non-coding RNA (234 nucleotides) under Phaseolus vulgaris (common bean). RNAcentral describes it as "long non-coding RNA (PVUL_LNC002476)". The record is from RNAcentral. Lineage: Eukaryota; Viridiplantae; Streptophyta; Magnoliopsida; Fabales; Fabaceae.